GUAGGGAAUCUUCCACAAUGGACGAAAGUCUGAUGGAGCAACGCCGCGUGAGUGAAGAAGGGUUUCGGCUCGUAAAGCUCUGUUGGUAGUGAAGAAAGAUAGAGGUAGUAACUGGCCUUUAUUUGACGGUAAUUACUUAGAAAGUCACGGCUAACUACGUGCCAGCAGCCGCGGUAAUACGUAGGUGGCAAGCGUUGUCCGGAUUUAUUGGGCGUAAAGCGAGUGCAGGCGGUUCAAUAAGUCUGAUGUGAAAGCCUUCGGCUCAACCGGAGAAUUGCAUCAGAAACUGUUGAACUUGAGUGCAGAAGAGGAGAGUGGAACUCCAUGUGUAGCGGUGGAAUGCGUAGAUAUAUGGAAGAACACCAGUGGCGAAGGCGGCUCUCUGGUCUGCAACUGACGCUGAGGCUCGAAAGCAUGGGUAGCGAACAGGA
Molecule: ribosomal RNA, 431 nt
Filed under: uncultured bacterium
Lineage: Bacteria
Description: bacterial SSU rRNA
Rfam family: Bacterial small subunit ribosomal RNA
Source: RNAcentral